RNAcentral lists this long non-coding RNA (307 nucleotides) under Phascolarctos cinereus (koala). RNAcentral describes it as "lncRNA (ENSPCIG00000000969.2)". The record is from RNAcentral. Lineage: Eukaryota; Metazoa; Chordata; Mammalia; Diprotodontia; Phascolarctidae.
CAUCUGCUUCCUGCCCUCCCCCCAUGAAGAUUCCUUUCUCCACCCUAAUCCCUUGUUCAGAGACUCAAGAUAAUGAAAUCAAGAAGUUUUGGAUCGUUCUUCUUGCUGCUUGAGAUUUAUUUGUCGACUACCCUGGGAUGGAUGCGUUCAGAGACAAGCAGAAGUGUUUCCUCAGAUGUGGGAGGGCUGCAAAAGAAGGAACUUAGAAGCCUUGAAGUAACAAGAAGAAAAGGUAAGAAAGCAUUUCUAUCAGCUGUUGUCAUUGGGAAGUAAUUUUCUCCAGCUGAAGGAAACUGCAGAUUUGCUG